Molecule: ribosomal RNA, 681 nt
Filed under: Triticum aestivum (bread wheat)
Lineage: Eukaryota; Viridiplantae; Streptophyta; Magnoliopsida; Poales; Poaceae
Description: partial small subunit ribosomal RNA
Source: RNAcentral
AUGCUUAGUCAGAAGGAGAAGAUAAUCUACUGCGGGUGGCUUGAUAGGUUUAGGGGGAUUUUUGAUCCAUGUUUUGUUGCAAGUGCACAGCUUAAUUAUAAUUGUGUUUCUGUGCACCCGGUGGAUCAUAUGAAGCUAAUUUUUCUUGCAUUUCCAUUGCAGGAAGAGCUUUGCAGGGAUGCUGGUGAAACUAACUGGGAUUACAUUAGCACUAUGAUGCACCCUGAUGUGAUGGGAUGUAGAAUUGAUUGGGUGAAGAAGUUCAUGUUCCUGGUGAAUUUCAUGGAUUGUUGGUCAUUGUACAUUCUGGAUACGGAGAAGAAAAUUAUGAUAGUCCAUGAAAUGACUGAGACCGAUCCGGCGUGUGAGAUGAAAAUCAAACAUGAGGCUUUAGCCAAGAAGUUCCAACAUAGGUUCUGCACCUUAUUCAACGACAUGUUCGGUGCUGGCUUGGUUGAGACCCGUGGAUUGUCGUUUGUGUAUCCGUUGGUGGCUCAACAUGGGCAAUGCAGCAGUGGAGUGUAUAUCUUGCACUACUUCGUCGAGUUCAUCAGACUACCUACAAUCAACACUAACCCAGGCUCAGAUCGAGCACUUGCGCAAGAAGUUUGCCUACGAAAUAGUGACCAUGAAGGGAAACAAUGGGGAUAUUCCGGAGCUCUUAUACGACAUAAUCAUUGA